GGUGCGAUGGCCGUCGUCAGUUCGUACUGUGAAGCAUCCUGUUAAGUCAGGCAACGAGCGAGACCCACGCCCACAGUUGCCAGCGUACUCUCUGGAGUGACGGGUACACUGUGGGGACCGCCGCUGCUAAAGCGGAGGAAGGAAUGGGCAACGGUAGGUCAGUAUGCCCCGAAUAUCCCGGGCUACACGCGAGCUACAAUGGUUGGUACAAUGGGUAUCUACCCCGAAAGGGGACGGGAAUCUCCUAAAACCAAUCUUAGUUCGGAUUGAGGGCUGCAACUCGCCCUCAUGAAGCUGGAAUCCGUAGUAAUCGCGUUUCAACAGAACGCGGUGAAUACGUCCCUGCUCCUU
RNAcentral lists this ribosomal RNA (351 nucleotides) under uncultured Methanosaeta sp. Its description in RNAcentral is "bacterial SSU rRNA". It matches the Rfam family "Archaeal small subunit ribosomal RNA", at positions 989 to 1338 of the family's 1478-position model. The record is from RNAcentral. Lineage: Archaea; Methanobacteriati; Methanobacteriota; Methanomicrobia; Methanotrichales; Methanotrichaceae.